AACGAACGCUGGCGGCGUGGAUAAGACAUGCAAGUCGAACGGAAUUACUUUUGUAGCAAUACAGAAGUAAUUCAGUGGCGAACGGGUGCGUAACACGUGGGCAAUCUGCCGAAAAGUGGGGGAUAGCUCGCCGAAAGGCGAAUUAAUACCGCAUGUGGUGAGGGACGACAUCUUCCUGAAUCCAAAGCCGGGGCAACCUGGCGCUUUUUGAGGAGCCCGCGGCCUAUCAGCUGUUGGUGAGGUAACGGCUCACCAAGGCUUUGACGGGUAGCUGGUCUGAGAGGACGACCAGUCACACUGGAACUGAGACACGGUCCAGACACCUACGGGUGGCAGCAGUCGAGAAUUUUUCUCAAUGGGGGAAACCCUGAAGGAGCGACGCCGCGUGGAGGAUGAAGGCUUUCGGGUUGUAAACUACCUGUCAUUUGUAGAACAAGUGCACCGGUUAACUGCGUGCAUUGAUAGUAUCAGAAGAGGAAGGGACGG
RNAcentral lists this ribosomal RNA (486 nucleotides) under uncultured bacterium. RNAcentral describes it as "bacterial SSU rRNA". It matches the Rfam family "Bacterial small subunit ribosomal RNA", at positions 29 to 496 of the family's 1533-position model. The record is from RNAcentral.